This is a long non-coding RNA of Sinocyclocheilus anshuiensis, 3078 nucleotides long. Lineage: Eukaryota; Metazoa; Chordata; Actinopteri; Cypriniformes; Cyprinidae. The record is from Ensembl.
GAAAAUUCUGAAAAUAAAUCUAGGAAAUAUUGGAUUGUUGGACUUCAAAUCAGUGGGCGAGCUGUUUUAUGGAUGGCAACUGUAAUAUUAUUUUACACUUUAGUUUAAGGUGUCCUUGUUACACGUUACAUGUAUUUACUCUUGUAAUAACAAUUGAUUAUGCAUAAUUACAUGCAAGUAACCCUAAGCCGAACCUUAAUCCUAACCAUAUAGUAAGUACAUGUAGUUAAUUAAUAUUACAAAGUACUUAAAUAUAUAAUUACACUGUAACAAAGACGCCUUACAAUAAAGUGUAACCCUGAAAUCUUAUUAGUAUUUACUUACCCUACUAGUUACUGCUCAAAGUAAUAUUAUUACUAGUAACUAGUUACUGCCCAACCCUGGUCAUGACUAACCCAACCAUCUCUUGUCCUCUAGCGUCCUUGAACAUGGCCUCCACGGCGGGGAUCAUCGGGGGCGUUGUUGGCGUGGCUGUUUUUGUGGGAAUCAUCAUCUGCUGCUGCUGCUACUGCCGUCGCCGGAGGGAAAAAGCUGAGGAAUACGCAAUGAGGACUCCUGAAGGAGGAGAGUUCACAGACAAGGACCCUGUAGAGAAAGAGGACGACCGCGACGAACACGUGAACUACGAGGAAGAGCGUCGCGUGAAAAGCGCAGACAGACUUGAUCUGCCUGACGACCGCAGCGAGAGGAGCUACGAUCGCCGCAGCGACUACGACGACCGAAGAGAUCACUACACCGACAGACGAGAUGAUCGCAGUGACCGGCGCGAGAGGUACGACAGAGACGACCGCCGCGACCGCUACGACGAUGGCAGAGAACAUUACGAUGAUCGCAGAGACCGCUACGAUGACCGUCGCGACCACUACGACGAUCGCAGAGACCGCUACGACAGCGACCGCUACGACAGUCGCGACAGACCGCCCAGCAUUCCACCGAAUAAACCCAAAGAACCGAGGAACUGAGUUCAGCAGACGCGGAGUCGAUCCUCAGAAAUACGCAGAAACUAGAGAAAAUGGACAACUAAUCCACUUACUAAAAAACUAAUCGUUUUUGUGUCUCAUAUGCUAGAUAUGAGAUUUGACAGAAUAAGGGCGUGUUCACACUUGGCGUCUUUUUUGACAAGAAAAAGUUGACAAGAGCGCUUAGUAAAAUAAGCGUAUAGCGUGUAGUAUAGUAAAAUAAAAAGCUGGUAGCGUUUUAACAACAGUAUAUAACAACAACAGUAGCCUAGUGCUGUGUGCUGCAGAAAUGUCAAGAAAAAAGUUGGCUCUUGCGUUGGCUUUUGAAGUUAACAGGGAGGAGAAUGUCGGUUCACAAUGACGUUUAUGUGUGCGUGACAUUAUACGGGGAAGGAAACGGUAUGGUGCUUACAACAAUUUAGUCCAGGAGGAGAGUUGGAUGAUGCACGGUUUGCAGAAUAUUUUAGACUAGACAGAGUUUUGUGCUCACAUCGUACAACUCCUUGUGCUCCAAAGCUAGUAUGAUCUAUCUACCUGCUAUCUUCUCCAUUUCUUCUUGUUGUUUUUGUUGUUAUGGAAACAACUCGCUGCUGGCUUCUCAUUGGUCAGCUGUCAAAAAGGCACUUGACGUAGGCCGUUUUUUUCAGAAAAGUUGUAACUUUUUUCAAGUUGAAAAGAGCUGCGGAAAAAGAUGCCAACGGUGGCAUUUUAAAAAGCGCUCAGGACAUUUUUGAAAACAUGGCUUACUCCCGUGUGAAAUAAAGCAAUAAGCUCCAAGAAGCCGUGGUUUAUAGUGAAUUUAUAACAGCUAAGGGGUAUUGUUAGGUACGACGCGAAGCGGAGUUAUAGCUGUUAUAAAUUCACUGUAAACCACAGCUUCACGGGGCUUAUUGCUUUUAUAAAACGGUUAUUCCAUAUACACAGUAAGGUUUCACAAAAUAAAACAGAGCAAAUAAAGUGUAAUGAUAUUAAUAAAAACAGUAUUCUUCCACCAAACAAUGUAGCUCCUCAGAAACAGUUGUGGUUGCAACAAAGUGGUUGCCGAGCAACAGACAAACGUAAACAAAGGUGUAUGUUACUUUGUAGAGUCAUUUACAACAGCUUCGAACGCGGAUCAGCCAAUCAGAAUCAAGCACCGGAACUAUCCGCUUUAUAAUGUAAAACAGAUGCUGGCAGCUUCAAAAAAGACUCCAAGUGUGAACAUAACCUAAAAGGGCUUUAAUAAAUCUACACUGACACACUUCAGUGUCGUGGCCAUUUAGUCUCUUAUGCGUUUAUAUUUUUUAAUGUGAAAUACUCUUAUAACGGUGUGUAAGCGGGAUGAUGGGGUUGGUUUGCUUUGAUUUUACUGCUGUUCAUUUGUAUUGUGAAAGGCUGUUGCUGUAUUCACGUCUAUGUUCAAAAGAGCCUUGUCUCAUAUUUACUUUAUUUUUCAGAUUUUUGUUGACUCUUUGUUGACAUGUUUCAUGUGGGAUUUUUCUAAACUCGUGUCUUCUUAACUGCAUUUAUAGGAAUAAGUAGUGUGAAUCAGUUAGAUUUCAGUUUCAUUUGUUUUUGUAUGGUUUCAGAAUAAAACAUUGAAGCAAAAGUCUUCUGAUGGUGGACAAAUGGGUUUCACUGAAGUUCCUGAUUCAGUUGUUUAACAUUCAAGCUUCUGUUUUAAACUGUGACAGAGUGAAGCUGAACUGCGGUGGUUAGUUUCCUAACUAUAACCCAUUUAUGGUCAUCUAUUGUCCAACCACUUCUCUCUUCAUUAUGAUUCAUUGUUAUGAAAAGUGGUCCUGUUGCUCUUGAUGAUGUCAAUCUGAGUUUUGCACCUGGCCAUUUUCAGCUAGGAUGUAAUUAAAUAUUCUUAAACAUUAAAGUUGAAUCAUGUCAAGGAAAACAUAUUCACCUGUAUAUGACAGAAAUGUAUUGUUCAACCUAGAGAAGAUCAUGCUGUUUUUUAUGAUUAAUUUGUUAUGAUUUUGAUUGAUUUCUAUAUACUUUAUGUUCUGAUAUUGUUUCUCAUGUAAUUUAUUUUGUAGGAUGUUAUAUGACAUUCAUUAAAUGCAUGUAUUUACUCCAGUUAUUAUUUCUCAGUGUGAGAGUAUUUUUAGAAAGUGUUGACUAAAUGACA